Molecule: ribosomal RNA, 383 nt
Filed under: uncultured eukaryote
Lineage: Eukaryota
Description: partial 18S ribosomal RNA
Rfam family: Eukaryotic small subunit ribosomal RNA
Source: RNAcentral
CAAUAGCGUAUAUUAAAGUUGUUGCAGUUAAAAAGCUCGUAGUUGGAUUUCUGGUGGGAGCGAUCGGUCUGGCGCUUAGCGCGAGUACUUGCAUCGUCUCCGGCCAUCCUUGGGGAGAGUCUGUCUGGAAUUAGGUUGUCGGGCAGAGGAUCCUCAUCGUUUACUGUGAAAAAAUUAGAGUGUUCAAAGCAGGCUUAUGCCGUUGAAUAUAUUAGCAUGGAAUAAUAAGAUAGGACUUUGGUACUAUUUUGUUGGUUUGCGCACCAAAGUAAUGAUUAAUAGGGACAGUUGGGGGUAUUCGUAUUCCGUUGUCAGAGGUGAAAUUCUUGGAUUUACGGAAGACGAACUACUGCGAAAGCAUUUACCAAGGAUGUUUUCAUUAA